Molecule: long non-coding RNA, 1265 nt
Organism: Schistocerca serialis cubense
Lineage: Eukaryota; Metazoa; Arthropoda; Insecta; Orthoptera; Acrididae
Exons: 2
Source: RefSeq, a predicted model, not a curated record
GUUCGUGGCACAUUACCACGUUUCCGUUACGAUAAAUUAAUGUACUUAGCUUGAAAAAGUUUUUUGCCAUUAUCUUUAAAUUUUUUGUAUUUUCUUUGUUGGUUUAAAGAUUUUAUUUAUUUCAUUUAUUUAGUGAAAUUUUUUUAAGAAAAGUUAAUAGAAGAGUUAAACUUCUAGUUUUAUGUUUUCAAAACAUAUGCUUUUCCUAAGCUAAUUAACUUAUUAUUCCUUAAUUAGCUUAUCUCAUGCGUUUGCAACAUGCACAUUAAUUAAGAAGUAUGUAAAGUAAAUAAUUGUUAAGAUUUGUCCUGUUAUAAUAUAAGGUUCUUCAACAGGCCGUUUUCCAAUUCAUGUUAAUAAGCAUACAACAACUACUAUAAUUCAGAAUAAAAUCUGGUUGAUAGGAUAGAAUUGAAUACCUCGGAAUGGUGUUUUAUUAUAAAAUGGUAAAAUUAUUAAGAUUCUAAUUGAUAGGAAUAACGCAAUAACACCUCCAAGUUUAUUAGGGAUUGACCGAAGAAUUGCAUAUGCAAAUAAGAAGUACCAUUCUGGUUGAAUAUGGACAGGAGUUACUAAUGGGUUGGCAGGUACAAAAUUAUCCGGAUCUCCUAGGAGGUAAGGAUUGAUCAAGCACAAUAUAAUUAAUAAUGAUGUUAUUAAUACAAAUGUAAUAGAGUCCUUGAAAGUAAAGUAUGGGUGAAAUGGAAUUUUUUCAAUAUCUCCAUUUAGUCCUAAAGGGGUUAUUAGACCCUGUUUGGUGAAGGAAAAAUAAAUGAAUUGCUGCUAUUGCAGCAAUAAUAAAUGGUAAUACAAAAUGGAAUGUAAAGAAUCGAUUUAAUGUUGCAUUAUCAACAGCAAAUCCUCCUCACACUCAUUGAACUAAAUCUGUUCCUAAGUAUGGGAUUGCUGAUAAUAAAUUAGUAAUUACUGUUGCACCUCAGAAUGAUAUUUGACCUCAAGGUAAAACGUAUCCUAUAAAUGCAGUUGCUAUAACUAAAAAUAGGAUUACUGUACCAAUUAUUCAGGUGUGUAUGUAUAUAUAAGAUCCGUAGUAAAUUCCUCGUCCUACAUGCAAAUAAAUACAAAUAAAAAAUAUAGAAGCUCCAUUUGCAUGUAAGGUUCGAAUAAUUCAGCCAUUAUUUACAUCUCAGCAGAUGUGAACUACACUACUAAAUGCUAUUUCAAUAUUUGAUGUAUAAUGUAUAGCUAAAAAUAGUCCAGUUACAAUUUGAAUUACCAAACAUAGCCCUAGUAGGGACCCAAAA